RNAcentral lists this long non-coding RNA (494 nucleotides) under Homo sapiens (human). RNAcentral's name for it is "HSALNT0389910". Lineage: Eukaryota; Metazoa; Chordata; Mammalia; Primates; Hominidae. The record is from RNAcentral.
GGUCUCGAGCUCCUGACCUCAGGCGAUCCGCCCGCCUCGGCCUCCCAAAGCGCUGGGAUUACAGGCGUAAGCCACCGCGCCGGGCUCUUUCAUUCUGUCUUUAUUUUCUGAGAUAGAGUCUCGCUCGGACGCUCAGGUUGGACUGCAACGGCGUGAUCUCGGCUCGCUGAAACUUCCGCCUCCCGGGUUCAAGCGAUUCUCCUGUCUCAGCCUCCCGAGUAGCUGGGAUUAUUGACGGGCAGCACCACGCCCGGCUACUUUUUGUGGUUUUUGUAUCUUCUGUCUUCUGCUCUUUAGUACCGCAUAGAGCCGCAGAAGACUAGCGAGUCGAACAAACGGCCCCUCUUGCAGCAGUUGUUGAUCACGGGGCUGCCCCCCGGUACUCAUCCUGUGUCUCUCGUCCAAAUCCCCGCUCCUCCUCAGCUAUCACCUCUGCCGAUGCUGGUGGUUUCCCUGGGUACCGGGAACCAAAACUCUCAUUCCCCAGGGGCCUA